GCAAAAGCUCAAAUUUGAAAUCUAGCACUUUCAGUGUUCGAGUUGUAAUUUGAAGAAGGUAACUUUGGAAUUGGCUCUUGUCUAUGUUCCUUGGAACAGGACGUCACAGAGGGUGAGAAUCCCGUGCGAUGAGAUGUCCAAUUCUAUGUAAAGUGCUUUCGAAGAGUCGAGUUGUUUGGGAAUGCAGCUCUAAGUGGGUGGUAAAUUCCAUCUAAAGCUAAAUAUUGGCGAGAGACCGAUAGCGAACAAGUACAGUGAUGGAAAGAUGAAAAGAACUUUGAAAAGAGAGUGAAAAAGUACGUGAAAUUGUUGAAAGGGAAGGGCUUGAGAUCAGACUUGGUAUUUUGUGUUCCUUAUCCUUCUUGGAUUGGGUUCCUCACAGCUUACCGGGCCAGCAUCGGUUUGGAUGGCAGGAU
Molecule: ribosomal RNA, 416 nt
Filed under: Dujonia oleophila
Lineage: Eukaryota; Fungi; Ascomycota; Pichiomycetes; Serinales; Debaryomycetaceae
Description: [Candida] oleophila partial 28S ribosomal RNA
Rfam family: Eukaryotic large subunit ribosomal RNA
Source: RNAcentral